UUUGGCCACGUUGGUCUGGUCUAAAUGACGGGCGUUUACAGUUUACUGUAGCGUUAAUUCAAACGGACUCACCGUUUGAAAGACACACACAGAAACACAGCAGCGAAAAUUCAAGGGUGAAAUCGCCACAGCACAGAAGAAUCCAUGCACUGUCUUCUCUGAGAGAAUAAAAUGCUGGAUUGCAAGACAUUUUGGAAAAGUGUGUAGAGGUGCUGAAGGCAUCUCAAAGUCUAGAAAAUAAGAAUGUUGCUGUCAGACUCUGAGAACUGCACUGGCCUCAAGGGAAAGAAACCAAGUCAACACCGCGGGCAGCACAACUAAGGAGAGCUUCGCCUGCCUUGUUUGCAGAGACGCAUAUUGCUGUUAUGCGUGGCCGAGAGCCGUGGGAACGGGGUGAGGCCACCGCGUAAGUGGAUACACCUGCGGUGGGCAUCUGCCUCGGAUCCCACGGAAGGAGCUCUGGACCAUAAAAGGAG
Non-coding RNA from Danio rerio (zebrafish), 476 nucleotides. Lineage: Eukaryota; Metazoa; Chordata; Actinopteri; Cypriniformes; Danionidae. The record is from RefSeq and is a predicted model, not a curated record.